RNAcentral lists this ribosomal RNA (496 nucleotides) under uncultured bacterium. RNAcentral describes it as "partial 16S ribosomal RNA". It matches the Rfam family "Bacterial small subunit ribosomal RNA", at positions 28 to 506 of the family's 1533-position model. The record is from RNAcentral.
GAUGAACGCUGGCGGCGUGCCUAAUACAUGCAAGUCGAGCGAACGGACGAGAAGCUUGCUUCUCUGAUGUUAGCGGCGGACGGGUGAGUAACACGUGGAUAACCUACCUAUAAGACUGGGAUAACUUCGGGAAACCGGAGCUAAUACCGGAUAAUAUUUUGAACUGCAUGGUUCAAAAGUGAAAGACGGUCUUGCUGUCACUUAUAGAUGGAUCCGCGCUGCAUUAGCUAGUUGGUAAGGUAACGGCUUACCAAGGCAACGAUGCAUAGCCGACCUGAGAGGGUGAUCGGCCACACUGGAACUGAGACACGGUCCAGACUCCUACGGGAGGCAGCAGUAGGGAAUCUUCCGCAAUGGGCGAAAGCCUGACGGAGCAACGCCGCGUGAGUGAUGAAGGUCUUCGGAUCGUAAAACUCUGUUAUUAGGGAAGAACAUAUGUGUAAGUAACUGUGCACAUCUUGACGGUACCUAAUCAGAAAGCCACGGCUAACUACGU